This is a small nuclear RNA of Saimiri boliviensis boliviensis (Bolivian squirrel monkey), 107 nucleotides long. Lineage: Eukaryota; Metazoa; Chordata; Mammalia; Primates; Cebidae. The record is from RefSeq and is a predicted model, not a curated record.
GUGCUCACUUCAGCAGCACAUAUACUAAAAUUGGAACAAUACAGAAAAGAUUAGCAUGGUCCCUGCUCAAGAACGACACAAAAAUUCGUGAAGCAUUCCAUAUUUUU